GAAAACCUUAAGUCAAAUCAUUAUCACCAAACUUCUCAGUCUCUCUUCCUGUUUACACAGGAACCCUAUGCGUUUGCAGGUUUCCUCAAACAACAUCUCAUUCAAAAUUCAAAUUCAUUAUUACAAACCAAAUUCCAAAACCCAGAGAAAAGAGAGAGAGAAGAGACGAGCGACCCAUGUUUCAUCUUUUCAAAAACCCUUUUCCCAACACGUUUUCUUCAGAUCUUCGUUUUUCUUCGUUGUUUUUGACGAUUUCGUUUACAUAUUCGUGUUGAUCGCUCUUUGAUCUACGUUUUGUGUAUGGAUUUGAUGUGUUUUGAUGAAGCUUUCGUCAACGAUCGUUGCGGUGAUCAGAGGUUAAGAUCUAGAUUUGUUGUUUCAGAAGGAUGAGGUAAUAGUGAUGAAUUUCAGUUGAGAGAUGAUGGUUCCGUUCAUGAUUUGCCCGCAAUUCUCAUGCUCUUCAAAGUUCCAGCUAAGUUUAUUUUUGAUUCAGAAUUUGUGGCUUCUUUAUUUUGAAAACACGAGAGAAACACACGGAUACACAUCUAGGAUUUUUUAGAUUCAUUCUUCCGAUCUCACCUUUUGUUUUUCUCUGUUGAAAUAUUCAUAAAUAAAUAAAAAUGAUAUAUUAAUUUAGUUUGCAACCACUUUUAAUUGUAGUUUGUUCAUGUUGCUUACAUAGUAAGAUUGUGUAGUAAUUUGGAUCGUUCAUUGGAGUUUAAUUUAUGCCCUUAACUGUUAUUUAUAUGCUUUUAUUUUACUUUUUUGUUUGAUAUGUUUUUAUAUUGUUGCAUAGUUGAGUAGUUUUGCAAUUUGUGCUUUGUAAAUCUUGCAAUUUGAGCCCUCUGAAAUACUAGAAAUAUGAUAUUCUUAUGCUCAAGGUUAAGUAUAUGAUCUUAAGCAUUAUUUAAUCAGCGUAAUUGAAAUAAGCUGACCAUUUUUAUCCACCCAUGAGGAUUUUAGGACGGAUUAAAGGGUUGGGUCGGGUUGUUUUGGCCCAUUUUUAGUUCUUAGUAUCCGUUUGUUCUUGCCUUCGAAUAUGACAGUUUGCUUCUUUCUUUCAAAUUACUUACUCAUUGGUGUAUGCUUAUUGGUUAAAAUUUGACAUCGUCAGGUCGCUAAAAUUUGGACAUCUAACAAUUUAUUAAAUUUGUUAUCUUCUUAUAAUCAGUUAUGAUUUACGUAUUUAAUUAUUAAUUACGGGUUAUACCUUAAUUCUAACAGCUUAACCAGGCUAAUCUAGGUGAACUGGGUCGAAUGCUUUGGAAAUAAUCCGAAUGUCAUUUAAAAAAAUGCAUAAAAUGAAAAAAAAACAUCUUCCAAAUAAGCAUUUGGCCAAAUUGGCACAUCUUUUGAGGACAAAUAAUCCAUGUUUAUCGCCGGCUUUCUAUGGUUCUCAAUUUGUUUAACACACGACUUUUUAUGCUUCUCAAUUUGUUGCAUAUAACCCUUUGAGGUUAUUUUUGGUAAUCCGUGUAUCACUUUGUGUAGAGAUGUAAGAAGGCGUUGUCGUGGUUCUUGACAUAUAUAUCAACUCGUGUACAUCUUGAUUUACUUGGCCCUCUCAAGAUGGUGGAUGCCAUGAAGCAAGUAGCAACGUUGGAUAUUGAAUUGCCUAUUGAGAAGAGACACAUGCUCUUAGUUGUAUACAAGAACGUGGUGGGUUCAUGUAAGGGUACUUUGAAUAACUCAUAAAACGGGUAUAAUCGAGUUUUUUAGCAUCAUAUAUGAUGCCUGUUUUCUUUUGGCAUUCACAAGAAUAUUUUGAAACUUUCUUGACAUCAGUCAUUCAGUCUUGUGUAUGCAUUAAGAGCCGCUUUUGAAGUAAAUGUCCUAAGUAAUUCAAUUUCUA
Molecule: long non-coding RNA, 1852 nt
Organism: Helianthus annuus (common sunflower)
Lineage: Eukaryota; Viridiplantae; Streptophyta; Magnoliopsida; Asterales; Asteraceae
Exons: 3
Source: RefSeq, a predicted model, not a curated record